GACAGAGGUUGCAAACGUUGUUCGGAAUUACUGGGCCUAAAGCGCGCGUAGGCGGUCCGUUAAGUCAUGUGUGAAAUCCCCCGGCUCAACCGGGGAAUUGCGCCUGAUACUGGCGGGCUAGAGAUCGAUAGGGGUGAGUGGAACUCCAGGUGGAGCGGUGAAAUGCGUAGAUAUCACUUGGAACGCCAACGGUGAAAACAGCUCGCUGGGGAUGUGCUGACGCUGAGACACGAAAGCCAGGGGAGCGAACGGG
This 253-nucleotide ribosomal RNA is filed under the name uncultured bacterium. Its description in RNAcentral is "partial 16S ribosomal RNA". It matches the Rfam family "Bacterial small subunit ribosomal RNA", at positions 524 to 776 of the family's 1533-position model. The record is from RNAcentral.